AGGGAAUCUUUCACAAUUGACGGCAGUCUGAUGGCGCAACUCCGCGGGGGGGGUGAAGGUUCUCGGGUUGUUAAAGCCCUUUGUGAGGGAAGAACGAGUACGUGAGGCAACACACGGAUCUUGACGGUACCUGAUGAGUAAGCACCGGCUAACUACGUGCCAGCAGCCGCGGUAAUACGUAGGUGGCAAGCGUUGUCCGGAAUUAUUGGGCGUAAAGCGCGCGCAGGUGGUUUCUUAAGUCUGAUGUGAAAGCCCACGGCUUAACCGUGGAGGGUCAUUGGAAACUGGGAGACUUGAGUGCAGAAGAGGAAAGUGGAAUUCCAAGUGUAGCGGUGAAAUGCGUAGAGAUUUGGAGGAACACCAGUGGCGAAGGCGACUUUCUGGUCUGCAACUGACGCUGAGGCGCGAAAGCAUGGGGAGCAAACA
This 426-nucleotide ribosomal RNA is filed under the name uncultured Caryophanaceae bacterium. RNAcentral's name for it is "bacterial SSU rRNA". It matches the Rfam family "Bacterial small subunit ribosomal RNA", at positions 356 to 774 of the family's 1533-position model. Lineage: Bacteria; Bacillati; Bacillota; Bacilli; Caryophanales; Caryophanaceae. The record is from RNAcentral.